AUACACCAGGUUAAAAUGGCGGCUGCGGGCGGCGGUGGAAACCCGCAAACCGGUCCAGGAUUGAACCGCUUGAGCUGGAGUAAAGGGGCCUUGGUGGUAGCAGCCCGGGACAGCCCGGAUCCUUACCGCUCCGGUAUCUGCUACGCUCUCCUUUACCUGGUGGUGUCGGCCCGUAUGGGGCUUUGCCGAGACUGCGACAAGACGCCGUGUAUCUACGGGAGAUGUGUGAAUGGGAGCUGCGUCUGUGACCAAGGAUGGGUCGGCGAACAGUGUCAGCACUGCGGGGGUAGAUUCAAAUUAACUGAACCAUCAGGAUAUUUAACGGACGGACCAAUAAAUUAUAAAUAUAAAACUAAAUGCACAUGGUUAAUUGAAGGAUAUCCAAAUGCUGUAUUAAGGUUACGAUUUAACCAUUUUGCUACAGAAUGUAGCUGGGACCAUAUGUAUGUAUAUGAUGGUGAUUCAAUAUAUGCACCUUUGAUAGCUGUGUUCAGUGGUCUGAUAGUUCCAGAGGUGCAUGGGAAUGAGACUGUACCUGAAGUAGUUACCACAUCUGGUUAUGCAUUGCUGCACUUUUUUAGUGAUGCUGCUUAUAACUUAACUGGAUUUAAUAUUUUUUAUUCGAUUAAUUCCUGUCCAAACAAUUGCUCAGGCCAUGGAAAGUGCGUGACUGGAAAUAGCGGCAGGGUAUUCUGUGAAUGUGAUGAGUAUUGGAAAGGGGAAGCUUGUGACAUUCCAUAUUGUAAGGACAACUGUGGAAGCCCAGAUCAUGGCUACUGUGACCUAACUGGAGAGAAACUCUGUGUCUGCAAUGACAGCUGGCAAGGACCAGAUUGUUCUUUGACAGUUCCAUCAAUGGAAUCCUACUGGGUACUGCCAAGCAUUAAACCCUUUAGUCCCAGCGUGAGCCGUGCAUCUCACAAGGCUGUUGUAUAUGGAAAGUUUAUGUGGGUGAUUGGUGGAUAUACUUUCAAUCAUAGUUCAUCACAGAUGAUUCUUAAAUACGAUUUGGAGAGCAAUGGAUGGGCAGGUGUACCCAUAGUAAGUGUUGCACGACCAUCUUCAAGAUAUGGGCAUUCCUUAGUAUUAUAUCAGGAUGAUAUUUACAUGUAUGGAGGAAAAAUUGAUACUGAUAAUGGAAAUAUCACAAAUGAACUGUGGAUCUUCAACAUCCCAACUCUGUCAUGGACCAGGAAAAUUCCAAACAUUCUCUCUCCUGGGCAACAAUAUGAUGUGGAAGGACACUCUGCACACCUCAUUGAAAUGGACAGUGGAGAUGUUAUCAUGUUUAUCAUUUUUGGAUAUUCUGCACUUUACGGUUACAUAAACAGUGUUCAGGAGUACAAUAUUAAAACCAACAUGUGGUUAAUGCCAGAGUCCAAAGGUGCAAUCGUCCAGGGUGGAUACGGGCACAGCAGUGUUUACAAUGCAAUGACAAAAUCAAUUUAUGUGCAUGGAGGAUACAAAGCAUUUACAAACAAUAAGUAUGGUUUGGUGGAUGAUGUCUACAAGUACACAAUAACUAGCCGUACUUGGACAAUCCUUAAAGAAAGUGGAUUUGCUCGUUAUCUACAUUCAGCGGUCAUCAUCAGUGGGGCUAUGCUCAUUUUUGGCGGGAACACCCAUAAUGACACGUCUCUGAGCAAUGGAGCAAAAUGUUUCUCUGCUGAUUUCCUAGCAUAUGAUAUUGCCUGUGAUGAAUGGGCAAUACUUCCAAAACCCAAUUUGCAUCGUGACCUCAAUAGAUUUGGACACUCAGCAGUUGUAAGCAAUGGAUCAAUGUAUGUGUUUGGCGGUUUCUCCAGUAUCCUUUUGAAUGAUGUCCUCGUUUACAAACCUUCAAGCUGUGAAGCCUUCAGUGAAGAUCUUUGUUUGAAUGCUGGUCCAGGUAUUAGGUGUUUGUGGCACAAGCAUCAUUGUGUUCCAUGGGAAAUGGGCCAAAGUAAUAGUAGCUUCCAUGAGGUGAAAUGUUCCCUCAAAACCGCGGCCACAGAUGACGGAUGUUUCAAAUAUACAGACUGUGGCAGCUGCACAGCCAAUAUGAAUGGGUGUCAGUGGUGUGAGGAUAAGAAAUGCAUUUCUGUAACCAGCAACUGCUCUGUGUCUGUAAGAAACAAUACAAAAUGUCGUGUACAGAAUAUGCACGUUUGUAGCAAAUUUACAAGUUGCAAGACCUGUUCCAUGAAGCUGAACUGUCAGUGGGAUGAGCGGAACCAAGAAUGUCAAGCUCUGCCAGCCCAUCUUUGUGGAGAAGGUUGGAGUCAUGUUGGAGAUGUCUGCCUCCGGAUCAACACAAGUCGAGAAAAUUAUGAUAAUGCAAAACUUUAUUGCUACAAUCUGAGUGGCAAUCUUGCCUCUCUUACCACGUCGAAAGAAGUUGAAUUUGUUCUAGAUGAGCUACACAAAUAUACAGUUCAGAAAAUAUCACCUUGGGUUGGAUUGCGCAAAAUUAACAUCUCCUACUGGGGCUGGGAAGAUAUGUCACCUUUUACAAACACAACUCUGCAGUGGCUCCCUGGUGAACCCAAUGACUCUGGUUUCUGUGCAUAUCUAGUAAGAGCUGAAAUUGUUGGAUUGAAGGCUUAUGCGUGCACUGAAAUGGCAAGUGGUCUAGUUUGUGAAAAACCAGUUGUCAGUCCAAAUCAAAAAGCCAGACCCUGCAAGACACCUUGUUCCCUCCGAACAACUUGUUCGAACUGCACAAGCCAGAAUGUGGAAUGUAUGUGGUGCAGCAGUGCUAAGCGUUGUGUGGAUUCAAAUACAUAUGUAAUUUCUUUUCCAUAUGGACAGUGCAUGGAGUGGCAAACUGUGAACUGUCUUUCUCAAAAUUGUUCUGGACUUCGUACAUGUCAACAGUGUUUGGAACAUCCUGGUUGUGGUUGGUGUAAUGAUCCUGCAAAUACAGGGAAAGGACAAUGUGUAGAAGGCUCUUCAAGAGGACCAAUGAAAUCUGCUGGCAAGAAGGUCCAAGAAAUGAUACUUGAUAUGGAUCUUUGCCCAAAAGACAAAAACAAUGAAUGGGCUUUUAUUCAAUGCCCAGCUUGUCAAUGUAAUGGUCACAGCACAUGUAUCAACGGCAGUAUUUGUGAACAAUGUAAGAAUCUGACUGUUGGAAAGCAAUGUGAAGCUUGCAUGCAGGGAUACUACGGAGAUCCAAUUAAUGGUGGCAGAUGUCAAUCUUGUAAAUGCAAUGGACAUGCAAAUGCUUGUCAUGCCCAAACUGGACAGUGCUUCUGUACAACAAAAGGAAUCAAAGGAGAUCAGUGCCAGUUGUGUGAAUCGGAUAACCGCUACCUUGGUAACCCACUCAAAGGAACCUGCUACUACAGUCUUCUGAUUGAUUAUCAGUUUACCUUUAGCCUCACCCAGGAUGAUGACCGCCAUUAUACAGCUAUCAACUUUAUGGCUACUCCAGAGCAGACAAAUAAAGAUCUUGACUUAUCCAUCAAUGCAUCAAACAAUUUCAAUUUAAAUGUCACUUGGUCUAUUGGCUCAACAGCUGGAACAAUAUCUGGAGAGGAAGUGCCUAUAAUCUCAAAAACAAACAUUAAAGAGUACAGAGAUGGCUUUUCUUAUGAGAAGUUUAAUUUUCGCAACAAUCCAAAUAUCACAUUCUACGUAUAUGUUAGCAACUUUAGUUGGCCCAUCAAAAUACAGAUUUCCUUUUCACAACACAGUAGCUUUAUGGAUCUCGUCCAAUUCUUUGUCACGUUUUUCAGCUGUUUCCUGUCAUUACUCUUGGUGGCUGCUGUUGUGUGGAAAAUCAAACAAACUUGCUGGGCUUCGCGAAGGAGAGAGGUGGAGGUCUAGCAGAAUGAAAAUUGCAUCGAAGUGCAUGCUGAGAACAGCCUGAAGUCUUCAAAUGAAAACCUUAAUGAAGACACUAAAAGCAGAAAUAUAAACUGUGUGAAUUAAUUUAGUCAUGUAUUUGUGAAUUGUGUAAUUUUUUUCAAAAUUCUUAUUCAAACUCUGGCUCAUUAGAAAUUUCAGCCAGAGAAAAUACUGCAGGUAAUUUAUUGUCAGCAUUAAAUAGUCAGUUUGCAUGUAGCCUGACAUUGUGAAUGCUGAAGAAACUUUCAAGAGUGAAGGAGUUUUCAAUGAAAUGUGUCCUAUAUGUCUGAUAAUGGCCCAAUGUCUGCAGUCAGUAAUGAAAGUGGGAUACCAUCCGCCAGCCUCACUGUGAAGUCUCUAAUAAGAAAUUUCACUCCGCCCCUAAUUGCGUUAUGACAAUAACAUUCAUUGCUUGGGAUUACCAACUAGACUGCAGUGAUGUGAUCAAGUUCUUCAAGCAGCCAAUAGCAUUGAAGCAUUUUCACAGCUACCCAACCAGGAGACGAAAUCCACAGCUUUUCCCAUGUGAACACAGGAGAGUUUGGACCAACAAACAAAGUGAUGAUGCAUAAUGCAAAUAACCCAUCUCUGUAUCAGUUUUAGAAAGAAUUCUGUUAUUUUGUUAAAAAUAUAUUUAAUUUUUUUGCUUGGAUUAACUCAUAAGAAACUGUUAAUUUGACAAAAAAUCACCAGUUUCCAUUGUUGCAUUUGGAGCAGGUAAUCAAAUUUUUGAAGUGCAUUUACACUCUACCUGCAAAAUCAGAUUUUCUGAAUCUGGUUGAACUUGCCCCAUGAGGUAUUAUGAUUUCCCUCUUUACAUUGGAACAUUGCUAAUGUACAGAGGAGAAACUUACAUUGCAUUACAGCCAAUUAAGUAUUUUGAAGUGUAGUCAUUAUAGAAAAUCACACAACUAAUUUAUGCACAGACAUUCUCAGGGACAAUCCUGUUAUUGAUUAAUGAAAUAUGAUUAAUGGAUUUUAAUGUGGGUGGCGGGGGCCCUGUCUUUGAUAAUGACAUUUAAUUUUAUUGUCACCAACUAGAUCCCCAAAGGAAUAAAGUUCCUAAUUAGUAACAGGAAUUCUACUGCAGGCUCUUCUCUUGCCAGAAUCAUUAAAGCAUUGCUCUGCUGGGGAAUGAAUAUUCUGUCCCAACAUUUGCAGGUUUCUCAGAGGCCAGAAGAGCUAUAGUACAGUAGUUUUACUGCACGCAGUGAUGACCAGCUGUAUGCACCAAGUUUAUCUGGGCAGUUAGCAUUGCCUCCUCCAGUGACAGAUAACUGGGGUGGGAUGGGGCUUGCAAGAAGGGAUGCAUCAGACAGUGGCAAUGAGUGAAGUGGACAACAAGAGCAAAGACUUUCUUGCUGCAUGCUUAUUCUUACUAAUGCUCCAGUUCCCUUGGUGGGAUAUAGAAUGCCUUUGAACUUGGACUGUUCCUCGUAGUGCAGUGAAAAACCCAACAGCAGGUGCUCCAGCACCCAAAUGAUCAUUUCUUCCUUGAAUAGUACUUGUGGAUCUUUCACCUGAGAAUACAGACAGGGUUUUAGUUUGAUGUAUUUACUAAAAGAUAAUAAGUCUUAUUCUAAAGCACUGACUCAUCAUUGGACUGAAACACGAGCCUAGAUAAUGCACUCAAAGCAGAAAAGAUAUUUUUGAAACAAUUGACAUUUUCAUCUUUUCCCAUGCUUACAAAAUCUCCAUGUAAUUGUAGGUUAUUUGUACAACACAACCAUAAUGAUCUUACUGCCAUCUUUAUCUAGAUAUUUAUAAUUUAUACUUGUGUGUCCUUUUUGAAAAUCUCACAUUUUGCAACAUGUAUUGAAGAACUCUACACAUGUGCUGCAUUUACAAAGAUAAUGUAAAAACCAUGUGACAAAUAUAUCAUUUGUGUUUGAAAUAGAUGAAACUGUUAGGACAGUCAAAGUAUCAAUAAAUAGGAGACAUACUGUUAGCCAAGUCAAGUAUAUUGUCUAAAGAAAUGCAUACAACACUUUCCCAAAUAAGAUUAGCAAACUGAGCACGAACCAAAACUUGAAACUUAGGUUUUCUAGUGUUGUAUCAUUUACUCAUGAAACCAACCUUACCAUAUUCCAUAUAGAUUCUGUAUAAAUCUAAGUGGUACAUUUUACUGUAUUGAAGGCAUUUACCCUAGUCUGUAAGCUUGUAUAGAUCCUGGAAUGUAUAUAUAUAUCAUUGUCUCCAGUACCAGUCUCCUCCAGUUUUCCAAUGUUUCAAGUCAUUUUGAAACCAUCUGUUCCAGCCCAUGAUGUGUCAUUUUCUUCCUGUAAUGUUGAGACAUUUCACAAACUUAAUGUCUUGUGGUCAGUGUGGCUAGUAAUAUACUUCAGCAAAAGGUGUCACAGGCAUGUUCACACAAUACAAAAUUAAUAGGCUAAACGGAACAAAAUUACAAGCUACAAGAAGUGCAAAACUGUUAACAUACAGAAAACAGUUGCUGAAAAAUAAUUAUUCCAGUUUAAAAAAAAUCCCAACAUAGUGAAAAUCUCCAUUUGGUGAAAUCUUAUUGUUUACAUGAGGCAGAAGAAGGGGAAACCUCCAUAUUUUAAAACAGUUUUCCUGUAGAAAUACAGGGUCGAAUAUUAAUGUCAAAACUGUGGGGGGGGAAAAAAAACGCGUAUUCUUUUAUUCUGGGAAACAUUUGUUUUGCAGAGACCAAUAAUGGUAGAACUGAGAAGGAUGUUCUCAAAUAAUGAUUCAUAUCAGUUGUGUUGUUAAAAAGAAGCGUGAGACAGCAAUAAUAACCUCGGAGCAGCUUCAGAGAAUGCUGCAUGCCAAAAACAAGGCACAAGUAAUCUGGAGAAUGCUGUGUGCAAAAAAUAAGCCAAAAGAAUUCUGUGCUAAGUAAUGUAAGGAUAAAGAUUCAACAAAAAUAGUAAACAUCAAUGCCUGAAAUUCUUAUGGAUUGUAUGUAACUGUAUAGAUAUAACUAAUGUGAGUCUUCCCACCAUGCUGCUACAAUUGACUUUGUUUAUCUUUGCCUGUUUGGAGCAGUUGUCUAACCUGCAGAGCAUGAAGUGAAGAGGUUGUCAUUUAUUAAAGUGGACAUAAAUGUUACGCGAAAGGAGGGCCCUUCAUAUAAAUUAAGGGGCCAACAAGUCAGAAGGAUCCUAUCAUCAUAGUUUUUACUGACAACGGGAAACUACAUACAGAUUUUUGAAUCUAGAGCAGCAACUCAUGAGGGAAAGACAGCAGAUGGCUAGUCGUCCUUUUGCAUCUGUUGAUGUUGCCCUGCAAGUUGGAGCUGAACAGCUGGAUAUUGUGAGAGGACCGCCAGAG
Molecule: RNA transcript, 7125 nt
Organism: Stegostoma tigrinum
Lineage: Eukaryota; Metazoa; Chordata; Chondrichthyes; Orectolobiformes; Stegostomatidae
Gene: atrnl1b
Gene name: attractin-like 1b
Exons: 28
Source: RefSeq, a predicted model, not a curated record